AGUGAACGCUGGCGGCAGGCCUAAUACAUGCAAGUCGAACGGCAGCACAGUGGAGCUUGCUCCAUGGGUGGCGAGUGGCGGACGGGUGAGGAAUACAUGGGAAUCUGCCCAGUCGUGGGGGAUAACGUAGGGAAACUUACGCUAAUACCGCAUGCGCCCUUCGGGGGAAAGCCGGGGACCUUCGGGCCUGGCGCGGUUGGAUGAGCCCAUGUUCGAUUAGCUAGUUGGCGGGGUAAAGGCCCACCAAGGCGACGAUCGAUAGCUGGUCUGAGAGGAUGAUCAGCCACACUGGGACUGAGACACGGCCCAGACUCCUACGGGAGGCAGCAGUAGGGAAUAUUGGACAAUGGGCGCAAGCCUGAUCCAGCCAUGCCGCGUGAGUGAAGAAGGCCCUCGGGUUGUAAAGCUCUUUUGUCCGGGAAGAAAAGUAUCGGGCUAAUACCUCGGUGUUCUGACGGUACCGGAAGAAUAAGCACCGGCUAACUUCGUG
RNAcentral lists this ribosomal RNA (490 nucleotides) under uncultured bacterium. Its description in RNAcentral is "partial 16S ribosomal RNA". It matches the Rfam family "Bacterial small subunit ribosomal RNA", at positions 29 to 507 of the family's 1533-position model. The record is from RNAcentral.